GAUGAACGCUGGCGGCGUGCUUAACACAUGCAAGUCGAACGGUAAGGCCCUUCGGGGUACACGAGUGGCGAACGGGUGAGUAACACGUGGGUGAUCUGCCCUGCACUUCGGGAUAAGCCUGGGAAACUGGGUCUAAUACCGGAUAGGACCACUGCCUGCAUGGGUGGUGGUGGAAAGCGUUUGCGGUGUGGGAUGGGCCCGCGGCCUAUCAGCUUGUUGGUGGGGUGAUGGCCUACCAAGGCGACGACGGGUAGCCGGCCUGAGAGGGUGACCGGCCACACUGGGACUGAGAUACGGCCCAGACCCCUACGGGAGGCAGCAGUGGGGAGUAUUGCACAAUGGGCGCAAGCCUGAUGCAGCGACGCCGCGUGAGGGAUGACGGCCUUCGGGUUGUAAACCUCUUACAGCAUCGACGAAGCGAAAGUGACGGUAGGUGCAGAAGAAGGACCGGCCAACUACGUGCCAGCCGCCGCCGUAA
This 478-nucleotide ribosomal RNA is filed under the name uncultured bacterium. RNAcentral's name for it is "partial 16S ribosomal RNA". It matches the Rfam family "Bacterial small subunit ribosomal RNA", at positions 28 to 523 of the family's 1533-position model. The record is from RNAcentral.